Molecule: non-coding RNA, 3265 nt
Organism: Prunus avium (sweet cherry)
Lineage: Eukaryota; Viridiplantae; Streptophyta; Magnoliopsida; Rosales; Rosaceae
Source: RefSeq, a predicted model, not a curated record
UGUACUUUAUCCCCAUACACUCCUCAUUAACCAGAAAGCGUAAAAAUACAAACUCUCACUUUCGCUUCCAGACUUUCCACUCUUCCACUUCCAGCUUCCAUUCCAUGUAGCUGAAAAAACGCUUAAAGGUCCUCCCUUUUUGGUUCUUACCUUCUCAAGCCACCAUCUUUCUCUGGAAUUCGAUUCCCUUUGGGUUCAAUAUUCUUUCAGAAUUUCAGAACUUUUAUCAUCAUCAGUCCAUAAAGAUCACAAAAUGCUUAGAACCCCACAUUGGUACGAUUCACAUGUUGCUAAGUUCCCUCUCUUUGCAUCACCCUUCUCAUCGCACAAUGGCUCUUCAUGUACUGUAGCUUCUCCUGUCCCUGACAUGGGAUUGAAGUUGAGUAAACAAGUAUCGGGUAGCAAUCAGCAAGGAAUUGCCAGAAAGACCCGGGAUUGUGUCAAUCAUAGAACAGCUAAUGCUUACGGUCAGCGUGCUCAAGAACGUGUACUUGAGGACGAGGCCCCCCAAAUGUCAGAGACUAGUCCAUCAUGGAAAACUUUUCCAGGUCAAGCUUUUCCGCUGGGUGUAUCAGAAGUUGACAGUGGGACUAAUUUUGCUAUAUUUUCACAGCAUGCAACUGCUGUCACACUUUGCUUAUCACUUCCAGAGAGUUUUCCCCAGACUCAUGCUCUCAUGAAUAUAAUUUUUGUCAAGGAAAGGCUUGGAAGGGUGGAUGGUGGAAUGAUGGAGUUCUCUUUGGAUCGUAAUGUAAACAAGACAGGUGAUAUUUGGCACAUAUGUAUCAAGGAUUUGCCCCGGAGCAAUGUUCUCUAUGGUUAUUGUAUGGAUGGGCCACGAGGUUGGCAUGAGGGGCAUCGAUUUGACAGCAGAGUUGUGCUUAUAGAUCCGUACGCGAAGCUAGUUGAUGGCCGCCGGUUUUUUGGAGAUAGCAGCAAAAAGUUUUCUAAGUUUCUUGGAACUUAUGAUUUCGAUAGCUUGCCUUUUGCUUGGGGAGACAACUACAAGCUCCCAAAUAUACCUGAGAAGGAUCUUGUUAUAUAUGAAAUGAACGUUCGUGCAUUUACGGCCUCUGAAUCCAGUGGUCUGGAUCCAGAUAUUCGUGGUAGCUACCUUGGUGUGAUUGAGAAGAUUCCACACCUUCAAGAGCUUGGCAUAAAUGCAGUGGAGUUGCUGCCUGUCUUUGAAUUUGAUGAGUUUGAGUUUCAGAGGCGACCAAAUCCUAGAGAUCACAUGAUAAAUACAUGGGGCUACUCAACAAUAAAUUUCUUUGCUCCUAUGAGCCGCUAUGCAAGUGAUGGUGGAGGACCCCUUAAAGCUUCCCAGGAAUUUAAACAAAUGGUUAAAGCCUUGCAUGGUGCUGGGAUAGAGGUCAUUUUGGAUGUUGUCUAUAAUCAUACUAAUGAAGCUGAUGACGCCAACCCUUAUACCACUUCAUUUCGUGGCAUAGAUAAUAAGGUUUAUUACAUGCUGGACCUAAACAACAAUGGCCAAUUACUGAACUUCUCUGGUUGUGGGAACACAUUAAACUGUAACCAUCCUGUUGUCAUGGAGCUCAUAAUGGAUAGCUUAAGACACUGGGUCACUGAAUAUCAUGUGGAUGGAUUUAGAUUUGACCUUGCCAGUGUUCUUUGUCGAGGAGCGGAUGGAAGUCCGCUUAGUGCACCACCAGUUAUUAGGGCUAUUGCAAAAGAUUCCAUCCUAUCAAGAUGUAAAAUUAUUUCCGAACCUUGGGACUGUGGGGGCCUUUAUCUCGUUGGAAGAUUUCCAAAUUGGGACAGGUGGGCAGAAUGGAAUGGGAAAUACCGUGAUGACUUAAGGAGAUUUAUAAAGGGCGACUCUGGUAUGAAAGGAAGUUUUGCAACUCGUGUUUCUGGAUCUGCUGAUCUUUUCAAAGUGAAUAAGCGCAAGCCUUAUCACAGUGUUAAUUUUGUUAUCGCGCAUGAUGGGUUCACACUAUAUGAUCUUGUUUCAUACAAUUUCAAGCACAACGAUGCUAAUGGAGAAGGAGGAAAUGAUGGAAGUAAUGAUAAUUUGAGCUGGAAUUGUGGUUACGAAGCAAACAAAAGAUGGUGCAAGUGCAAUAUCAAGUGUUGUGCAUUUAUUGUUCAAGUGGAGACAAACUUACUCCUGCAGAUGGGACAUGGACAGUUCUUUAGCACAAUUUGCCAUGUAGGAUAUGAAUGGGAGAAACUGAUGAUUCUACUGUUAAAGCUAUACGCUCCCGACAAAUGAAAAAUUUUCAUUUGGCAUUAAUGAUAUCUCAGGGGACACCAAUGAUGCUGAUGGGGGAUGAAUAUGGGCAUAGUCGAAAUGGAAAUAACAACAGCUAUGGACAUGAUACCGCUAUUAACCAUUUCCAGUGGGGACUGUUGGAGGCACGCAACAGCAAUCACUUCAGGUUUUUCAAAGAGGUGAUAAAAUUUCGACGAACACGUCGUGUAUUUGGUCGUGAUACAUUUCUUGAGAAAAAUGACGUGACAUGGCAUGAAGACAACUGGCACAAUUUUGAAAGCAAAUUCCUUGCAUUUACGUUUCAUGACAAUAAUGGAGGAGACGUCUAUAUGGCAUUCAAUGCUCAUGACUAUUUUAUUAAAGUUCCAAUACCCGCAGCACCAGUAAAGAGGAGAUGGUUUCGUGUGGUGGACACUAAUCUUGAGUCUCCCAAUGACUUCGUGCUUGAUGGCGUCCCAGGCAUCAAAAGCACAUAUAACAUGGCCCCCUACUCCUCAAUUCUUCUUGAAGCAAAAUGAUGACAUAACUUCAGAAGCUGCUUUUUUCAGAUGGCUUGGAUUAUCUGGAAGAUGACUGAAAGAUCCGGCUGGUUUCAAACUAAAACAAGAUUUAUAUUUAUAUUUUUGAAGUCCUUGAGCUGUACAAAUGCAUGUUCAUGUCAAUGGGACUAGUAAAGUAGUUUUGAAUUUAGAGUAGAUCACCAUGAUUCCCCACCAAUAAGAACAGCCAGCCUCAACCAUGUAUAUGCAGGGAGCUAUGAAAGCAUGUAAUUACUUCAAUAAUUGCAGAGAGCCCCUAUGCUUAACAAACAUGCUAAAGGGAUCAUAAUAUUUCUUAAGUUGUAGUCUGAUAUGACAGAUUACAUGAUGAUAGUGACUUACUAGAAAUAAAUGAGGUUCAUAGUGAAACUAAAUAUGAACAAAAUGAAGUACUUGUAACUCAUUAUCCGAAACUUUUUCGAAUUUAUUUUGGUGUAUAUGUAGAUUACUCUAAUUAUCAAAGUAUUGGAAUAAAAGCAUCUUUUUAUUA